UGAGGAAUAUUGGUCAAUGGGCGCAAGCCUGAACCAGCCAUCCCGCGUGCAGGAAGACGGCGCUAUGCGUUGUAAACUGCUUUUCCAGGGGGAGAAACUUCCGUACGUGUACGGAAUUGACGGUACCCUGGGAAUAAGCAUCGGCUAACUCCGUGCCAGCAGCCGCGGUAAUACGGAGGAUGCAAGCGUUAUCCGGAUUCAUUGGGUUUAAAGGGUGCGUAGGCGGACUAUUAAGUCAGUGGUGAAAUCCUGCAGCUUAACUGCAGAACUGCCAUUGAUACUGAUGGUCUUGAGUUUGGUUAAGGUAGGCGGAAUGUGUAAUGUAGCGGUGAAAUGCUUAGAUAUUGGGAGGAACACCAGUGGCGAAGGCGGCUCCCUGGGGUCACACCGAGACGCUGA
RNAcentral lists this ribosomal RNA (399 nucleotides) under uncultured bacterium. Its description in RNAcentral is "bacterial SSU rRNA". It matches the Rfam family "Bacterial small subunit ribosomal RNA", at positions 355 to 749 of the family's 1533-position model. The record is from RNAcentral.